Molecule: long non-coding RNA, 3535 nt
Organism: Cavia porcellus (domestic guinea pig)
Lineage: Eukaryota; Metazoa; Chordata; Mammalia; Rodentia; Caviidae
Exons: 2
Source: RefSeq, a predicted model, not a curated record
CGCGCUGCGUGGGGACCAGAAAGGGGUGCCGGGCUGAGGUGGGGCCCCGGCAAGUGAUGGGGUCCCUCAUCCCGGAGGCGCAAGCUGUGGCCCAUCAUGCCCCCUCCCGGCCCCAAUUUCUGAGAUCCCUGAGGCGCCGCCUGAGAGGAACCUGAAUUGGCGGAACUAUGGUAUCAGGGACCAUGGGACUCUGCUGGGGGGAAGUUCCUACUGUGGACCAGGUGACUAUUUUUCAUGUUAAUAGAAAUAGCAAACAGUUGCAUGGGACUUAUUGUGUGCCAGGCAUUUUUGUGGUGUCACCAGCCGGCUUGAGCUUCCCUGUCCAGAAAUGAGAUUCCCCCUAGACACCCACCCUGAGAUCACCCUGCUGCUGCUUUCUUCCACUAAGCCAAUUAAAGCGGGAGGUUAAUGAUCAGAGAAGCCCUGGAGAUUUGGCCAGAGAAGAAAACAAAGGGCAGAAAUAAAUUGUGAGAGUGGGAAGGGUGGGUAAGGUUGGGUCCUUGCCAGACCCACCUCACCCAUGGACAAGGAUGAAUUAGUGCUGUAGUUGUGUUAGUGUCCAUCCUCAGGUAGGUAUCCUGCAAGGAAGGAGAGGGACACAUGGGAACCGGACACCAGGAGAGCAGAGUAUGUGGGAGUGCACUUAGGUAUAACCUGCAAAUCAUAUGGGAAUCCCUAGGUGCAGAGGAGCCUAAGGUUACGCACGUUGAGCUGGGUUUUCAAAUAAGGUUUUUAUUUCUCACUUGCUCCCUGAGGCUGAGAGCCUCUUUUGUUCAGGGUCCUGCACUGAUAGUUUUGAGACCUAGGUCCUGGGGUCUCCUUCCUCUACCCUGCCCCGUCUAGAAUUAUGGCAAUGGCAACAGAACACCUUACUGAAAUUGCACCUCCACACUCUGCCUGAGGACAGAAAGGUGACAUAUUUUUCUCUUCAGCCCUAAAGGAGAGGGCUAUGGCUAUGUUGUUUUUUGCAAUGUUGGGUAUCGUGAAUCCUGGACCUCACACAUGCCUAGGGUUCCUGCAUGUGAAGCAAGUGCUCUAGGACUAAGUUAUACUCCAGCCUUCUCAUCUUAAUCAUUGUUCCUUACCCUGACUGCCCUGUGUCCUGCACACAGCCCGUCCAGAGCAGAGGCUUGAUAAGGGUGUGUUGAGUAUAACUACAUUUUCAAAACUUCAUGAUGGUACAAACAGAGGGGGUGGGUCUCUGGAGCAAAUAUGCUAUUUGCCAGUACUGUGACCUCAUGUAGAGCAGUCAUUUACCACCAGCCUAGAUUUCCUCAACUCUCAGAGGACAGUAACAUACCAAGCACAAUAGCUGCCUCCUUUUUUUUUUUUUUUUUUUUCUUUUUGUUUUUUUUGAGACAAAGUUUCACUACCAAGUACAGGCUGCUCUUGAACUCAAAGCAAUCCUCUUGCCUCCACCUCCUGAGUGCUAGGAUCCUGAGUGCACCAUCAUGCCCAGCCUCUGAUUCCUCUUAAGUGUUCAGUCAAUGUUAGCUUCCUGGCUCUAGUUGUUUUUUCCUUGCAGUUGACUUUAGCUAGAUCAUGGUUUCCAUUAAUUAAUUUUCAUUCUCUCAUUCAUUCAGCUAGCUACUUCCUAUUGAGCUUUUGGGCUAUACUAGCCACUGGAGGAGGCUCCAGUUUAUUAUAUGUCACUUGAAGGGCUGGGAACCUGGUUCAAGUGUGUGAGCAUGCUUCUGGCUUCAUAGGGAGCAAAGACCCUGGGAAGCUGUUGAGAUUGGUUGUAUGUACACUCUGUAUCUAUGUAUGUACACACACACACACACACACACACACACACAGGACCAGACCUGGCUACAGGGCAGGAAAGGUGACCCAAGUAAGGCGUGGUGGCACGUGCCUGUAAUCCCAACACCAGCCGUUAGAGAGCUUAUUGCUUUUCCCCCAUCUCCCCCGCUGCUGUUGAAAUGCCUUCUCUAUCCCUCCUGGUCAGCUGAGCCUCACUCCUAUGCUUUUCUGUGUUUCCAUUCUUUUUUACUCCUUGCUGAUGGGAAGUCCACCUAGCCUUCCAACUGCCCUCCUUCCUGCUGAGGUACAACAGUUUUCUCUCUCUUGCUUAGAAUGCAUGUAAUUCAUUAAUUAAUUUCAAGUAAUGAGAAUAUAUUGGGUAACAUUCUAUAGGCCACACAAAAGAAAUAUCAGACUUGAUUCUUGUUCUCAUCAAGACAUGGAAACGGGCCUGUGUGACCCAGAGAAUAUGUCCAGCCAGAGAGGAGGUCUGAGAGGCUGCACAGAUUGGAGGGUACAAGAGGGCACUGUUACCUGUUCUUCAGAGGCUUUGCAGGCCAGCCUGAGGUUUGGUUCUGGACAGAAACAUGCCUGCUCCUCUUCUGGGACUACCCCAGCACUCCCACUACCAGAGCCCCAUACUGUCUGAUUUCCCCAGGGAGGGUAGCUCUGAGGGGCUGGGGCAGAGCCUGGGCCUCCCAGACAGCUGGCUGACAGGGGACUGCUGGGACUCAAAGCUGGAUCCAGGUGUCCAGAGGCCAAUGAUACUGGAGCCGUGACAGUUGGUCCCUAGAUUCCUCACCCAGUGGCGCCAGCUCUGGUUUCGGGCUGGGAGGGGGAGGGUCACCUGGUGCCAGCCAGGGCCUGGUGCUCCCUUGGGUGGGAGCAGAGGCAGUAAACAUGCCUUCAUAGGUUGUCACUGCCUUUUGUUCCCCAUUCUGUGCUGGGUACCAGUUGGAAAUCCAGAAGCACAAAACACAGUCAGGCACAUGUGAUGGGUAUGACACAGAACAUAAAAUAUUCUAUGCAGAAUAUGAGCUAAGAACAGAAGUUGAGUAAAGCUGACUGGUGAUGCACACCUAUAAUCCCAGCAUUUGGAAGGCUGAGGUAGGAGGAUUGCCACAAGUUCAAGGCCAACCUGAAUAUAUAGUAAGACCCUGUCUCAAAAAACAAACCAAGGUUAAGAUCUCACCUGUCCUUAGACUCUAUGUAUCUUCCCAAGUUGUGGCUACAUUUGCUGCCACUGAACCCUGCCUACACAAGGCAAUCUGUUGAACUUUCACUCUGCUAUUAGGAAGCACUGAAUUCUGCCUCUCUAGGGAGAGAUAGAACUCCCUUCUAUGGUCAGAAAAAGGAGACAGGGACUUUAGAAUUUAGGAGAAGUUUAAGUUUGGCAAGGUCCUGAGUAUGUAAUUUAUAGACCAUCAGAAAUCUGUCUUUUUAAAUACUGUCACCCUGAUUGUUUCAAUGUUGAUUCCAAAUUAAAACCAAAACACCUAGCAGGGAGACAUACAAACACAUGGAGUGAAGCUGCGCUCAGGGAAAGGAUCAUAAAUACAGGAUAUUUGCUUUCCUCAGAAUCACCUACCUCUGGGUCCCCCACUGCUUGAAGUGGCUUUUUAUCUCUCUCUCUUCUUUUGUAAAUAAAAUUUCAUCUUACUUUGGAAAAAAAAAUCAGGGCGAUGGGGCUGGGGAUUUAGCUCAGCGGCAUAAGCACCUGCCUUGCAAGCAGGCAGUCCUGAGUUCGAUCCCCGGUACCAAUAAAAAAAAAAAAAAAAAAAAAAAAAAA